This 876-nucleotide ribosomal RNA is filed under the name uncultured archaeon. RNAcentral's name for it is "bacterial SSU rRNA". It matches the Rfam family "Archaeal small subunit ribosomal RNA", at positions 21 to 903 of the family's 1478-position model. The record is from RNAcentral.
CCUGACUGCUAUCGGAUUGGUACUAAGCCAUGUGAGUCAUUGUAGCAAUACAAGGCAGACGGCUCAGUAACACGUAGCCAACCUACCCUAUGGACGGGGAUAACCUCGGGAAACUGAGGAUAAACCCCGAUAGAUCAUAAUGCCUGGAACGGUUUAUGGUCCAAAUGAUUCGUCGCCGUAGGAUGGGACUGCGGCCUAUCAGCUUGUUGGUGAGGUAAUGGCCCACCAAGGCUAUUACAGGUACGGGCUCUGAGAGGAGAAGCCCGGAGAUGGGUACUGAGACACGGACCCAGGCCCUAUGGGGCGCAGCAGGCGAGAAACCUUUGCAAUGUGCGCAAGCACGACAAGGUUAAUCCGAGUGUUUCCUGCUAAAGGAAUCUUUUGUUAGUCAUAAUACCACUGAUGAAUAAGGGGUGGGCAAGUUCUGGUGUCAGCCGCCGCGGUAAAACCAGCACCUCAAGUGGUCAGGAGGAUUAUUGGGCCUAAAGCAUCCGUAGCCGGCUCUGUUAGUUUUCGGUUAAAUCCAUAUGCCCAACAUAUGGGCUGCCGGAAAUACUGCAAAGCUAGGGAGUGGGAGAGGUAGACGGUACUCCGUAGGAAGGGGUAAAAUCCUUUGAUCUAUGGAUGACCACCUGUGGCGAAGGCGGUCUACCAGAACACGUCCGACGGUGAGGGGUGAAAGCUGGGGGAGCAAACCGGAUUAGAUACCCGGGUAGUCCCAGCUGUAAACCAUGCAAACUCAGUGAUGCGUUGGCUUGUGGCCAGCGCAGUGCCGCAGGGAAGCCGUUAAGUUUGCCGCCUGGGAAGUACGUACGCAAGUAUGAAACUUAAAGGAAUUGGCGGGGGAGCACCACCAAGGGGUGAAGCCUGCGGUUC